UGCAGCAGGCGCGAAACCUUUACACUGCACGACAGUGCGAUAAGGGAAUCCCAAGUGCGUAGGCAUAGAGCCUUCGCUUUUGUCCACCGUAGGGAGGUGGACGAAUAAGGGCUGGGCAAGACCGGUGCCAGCCGCCGCGGUAAUACCGGCAGCCCGAGUGAUGGCCGAUCUUAUUGGGCCUAAAGCGUCCGUAGCUGGCCGCACAAGUCCAUCGGAAAAUCCACCCGCUCAACGGGUGGGCGUCCGGUGGAAACUGUGUGGCUUGGGACCGGAAGGCGCGACGGGUACGUCCGGGGUAGGAGUGAAAUCCUGUAAUCCUGGACGGACCGCCGAUGGCGAAAGCACGUCGCGAGAACGGAUCCGACAGUGAGGGACGAAAGCUAGGGUCUCG
This 391-nucleotide ribosomal RNA is filed under the name uncultured archaeon. RNAcentral's name for it is "bacterial SSU rRNA". It matches the Rfam family "Archaeal small subunit ribosomal RNA", at positions 331 to 721 of the family's 1478-position model. The record is from RNAcentral.